Long non-coding RNA from Capsicum annuum, 7282 nucleotides. RefSeq lists it as uncharacterized. The record is from RefSeq and is a predicted model, not a curated record. The transcript has 5 exons. NCBI's taxonomy places the organism in Eukaryota, Viridiplantae, Streptophyta, Magnoliopsida, Solanales, Solanaceae.
UUGAACAUGCUCAAUUCUAGUUACUACAAAUUGUGAACUUGUGACUUGAAAAUGGUUAAGUGUAGCUACUUGAAAUGUGAAGUUAAUGACUUGAAAAUUCUCAAGUGUAGUUACUACAAUUGUGAACUUGUGACUUGAAAAUGCCUAAGUGUUGCUACUUCAAAUGUGAAGUUAAUGACUUGAAAAAGCUUAAGUCUAGCUACUUGAAAAUGAUUUAAGUGUAUUCACUUGAUAUAUGAACUAAUGACUUGAUUUUUAUAUAUUUUAAUGUAAAGUUACAUAUUAUUGAAUAUCUAUAUUUUUGUAGAUGGAUCAUCGUCUAUGGAUGUAUGAUAUGGAUUAUGGAAAUGUUGGCGGUUUAAAACCCCAAUAUCUUAAUGGUGUUAGAGGUUUUAUCGAUCAUGCGAUGUCACUAGAUCUAUUCCAAAAAAAAUGGAGUGGUUAGGUUUCCUUGUAGUUCAUGUAGGUGCUUGAAAUUUUUUCAACCAGAUAUAGUUAUGACUCAUCUCUAUCAUAAUGGAUUUAAGCCAAGAUACUUUGUGUGGGUCGAUCACAGAGAAAGAGAUGGUUUGAAUGGUAUAUUUUAUAAUUCAUUGCCUAUGCAUGAAUAUGACAUGUUUGUACAUGGUCGACAUGCUAGGAUUCAAUAUGCUAGAGUUCAACAUAGGGUGCAACACGAUAGAGUACAACACGAGGAUAGGAUUCAUGAAAUGGUCAAUGAUGUUUUUGGUAUUGGGGAUGGGAUGGAACUCGAACAGAAUUUAAAAGAAGAUCCUAAUGAAGAAGCAGGAGGUUUCUAUCAACAAUUAGAAGAGGCUAGUCACCCAUAAUGUGAAGGGAGUCCGCAUUCUGCUUUAUAUAUUGCAGUUAGAUUACUGAGCAUCAAAUCUGAUUGGAAUGUUGCUCAAGCUGCUAUGGACUCUAUGGUUGGUCUUUAGGGUGAACUAGUAAAUCCAGAGUUGAACAUAUCUCAGAAUUUUUAUCAAGCAAAGAAAUUGGUUUCCAAGUUGGGAUUGUCAUAUAAUAGAAUCCAUUGUUGUAUAAAUGGUUGUAUGUUGUUCUAUAAGAAUGCUGAUGAAUUAGAAAAUUGUAAGUUUUGUGGACAUGCUCAUUAUAAGCGGACUCCCAUUGGAAAGAUGGUUUCUAUUAAGGCAAUGUACUAUUUACCUCCUAUACCUACGUUAAAGAGGUUGUAUGCUUCAAUGAGUUCUUCCCCACACAUGAAAUGGCACCAUGAAAAUAGAAGGACACCAGGUGUCUUGUCUCAUCUAUCAGAUGUAGAAGAUUGGAAGAACUUCGAUAGAACUUAUCCUAAUUUUGCUAGUGAGCCAAGAAAUGUUAGAUUGGGGUUGUGUGCAGAUGGUUUCACACCAUUCUCUAAUUCUGGCACACUUUAUUCUUGUUGGCCUGUAUUUAUUACUCCAUAUAAUCUUCCACUUGAAAUGUGCAUGACAAGUCCCUACAUAUUUCUAAGUUGUAUUAUUCCAGGUCCCCGCAAUCCAAAAAGUUUGAAAGAUGUGUAUCUCCAGCCAUUGAUAGAUGAAUUACUACAAUUAUGGCAUGAAGGUGUAGUGACAUAUGAUAUAUCAGCUAAGCAAAAUUUUGUCAUGCGUGCCAAUUUAAUGUGGACUAUUAGCAAUUUUCCUGCAUAUAGGAUGUUGUCUGGUUGGAUGACUACUAGAAAGUUAGCUUGCCCAUAUUUCAUGGAAAAUAGCAAAGUAUUCACUUUAAAGAAUGGUCGAAAAAAAUUCUUGGUUUGAUUGUUACCGCCAGUUCUUACCAAUGGACCACGAGUUUAGAAGGAUGAAAAAUGCGUUCAUAAAGAAUAAGAUUGAGAAUGAUCCGCCACCUCCAUUACUGUCAGGGCAUCAGAUUUGGGAGAGAGUUUGUAAUUUUCCUAAAGUUACAGUUAGUCCACCUUCUAGACUUCCUGGAUAUGGUGUUGAACAUAAUUAAACCAAACAAAGCAUAUUUUGGGAGUUGCCAUAUUGGGGGUGACAAUAAACUAAGAAAUAAUCUUGAUCCGACCCACAUUGAAAAAUAUUAUUUUGAUAAUUUAUUCAACACAGCCAUGGAUGUUAAGGGCAAGAAAAAAGAUAAUUCAAAAGCUAGAAUGGAUUUAAAGAAGUAUUGUAAGAGAAAAGAAUUGUGGUUGAAGGAAAAAGAAAAUGGUAAAUUGUUUAAGCCCAAGGCCAGUUUUUUAUUCACAUUAGAUGAUAAAUGGAAAAUAUGUGAGUGGGUUAAGAAUUUGAGGAUGCCUAAGGGGUAUGCUUCGAAUUUAGGAAAACGAACGGAUAUGGAAGAAGGGAAGUUAAUUGGUAUGAAAAGCCAUAAUUGUCACGUUUUUAUGGAGACCUUGAUUUCUAUCGCAUUUAGCCACCUUCCUGAGAGGAUAUGGAAACCAAUCACAGAGAUAAGUUUAUUCUUCAAAGAUUUAUGUUUGAGAAAGUUGUUGGAGAGUAGCUUGGACAGAAUGGAGCAGAAUAUUCCUGUCAUCACUACUAAGUUGGAGAAGAUCUUUCCAUGUGGCUUUUUUGAUGUGAUGGAGCAUCUUCCAAUUCACCUCGUAGAAGAGGCACGUCUUGGAGGACCAAUUCAAAUGAGGUGGAUGUAUUCAGGAGAGAGAUAAAUUUUUUUAAUUUAAUUCCAUCAUUUUCUUAAAAGAAUUACUUUUAUCUACCUAAGAUAAAAUUAUGUAGGAAAAUUGGCUAGUGUAAACAAACGAUUAAGCAAAGGGGAAAGAUAGAAGGAUCGAUUUGUGAAGCUUAUCUUGUAAAAGAAACUGCUUGUUUUUGUUCUUACUACUUUGGGGAUGAAGUACCAUGCAAAAGAAAUAGGUCCAAUCGUAAUGAUGAAGGUGAUGAUGAUCCUAUGUUUCCACCUAUAUCAAUUUUUAACAAUUUAGGCAGAGGAUCUAAAAGUGAUUGUACGCGAGCCCUCACUGGGAUGGAAAGAAAAUCUAUUGUGACACAUGUUUUGCUCAAUUGUCCAGAGAUUCAACCAUAUCUUGAGUAAGUGUUAAUGAUGUUAUCGAAUUAUAUUAAUUUGUUUAGGGUACUUCAAUAAUAAAAAAAUCUUAUUGAUGUAUACUUGACAGUUUAAUCAUUGGCAAAUGGGUUAAUGAUGCUGUAUAUACGAGGUUUUACAAUUGGCUGGAAGAAUAAGUAAGUAUGAUAGAUCACAUGUGCAUUUACUAAAAUUAUAUAUAGGUCAUUUAAUAAAAUUUGUAUUUUGAUUUAACGAUAUGUAGGUUUUGGAUGAACAUAGUACUGUCGAACAUUUGCCAUUAGUGAGAGAUAUUAUAUUUGGUCCUGCAACUCAAAUUCGGACAAUGGAUAAAUAUUGUGUGAAUGGUUUCAAGUUUCAAACCGAGAAAGUUUCUAAGUAUAAGAAAAAUAAUAAUAGCGGCGUGUGUGUUGAAGGUGAUAUUGACGGUAAUGGUCAAAUCGUUGAAUAUUUUGGUGUCAUACAAGAGAUAUUAGAAGUCAGGUACCCUGGUUGACGAACAAAGAAGAUAAUUCUAUUUUGGUGCAAGUGGUUUGAUCCAUCACAUAGAGGUACCAGGGUGAAUCAACAGCAUAAUAUAAUUGAAGUUAAGCACACGAGGCAAUAUAAUGUUAUGAUCCCUUUAUUAUUGCACAAAAUGCCAGGCAGGUAUAUUAUGCUAUAUAUCCAUUGUGAGAUAAAGUAAAUUGGUGGGUGUUUAUAAAGACUAAACCUGUGGGGAGAAUUGAGAUUGAGAAUGUGUAAGAUGUGGCAUACUAGAACGAAGUCACAGUUGUUGAUCAGAUAGUGGAUGAUGAGUUGGAAAACAAUCUAGAACAUCCUCAACGUAUAUUAGAAAAAGUUUCUGAUGAUGAGAUCAUUGACAUCGCAAAUACAAUGGAAGAAAUAGAUGAGGGAAAUGAAUCAUUUUGGGAGAACGAAUGGGAUCAUGAAAAUGAAACAACAGAUGAGGAAGAAUGGGAGAAUGAUAGAAAUGAAACAAGCGAUGAGGAAGAUUGAGAGAAUAUAGAUUAGCUAGUUUGUGUUUUAUUACCACUAGUUAGUGUAUUGUAUUUUGUUGGUUAGAGUUUUUUGAGAUUACUUGUUUGUACUAGUUAUCUUUUUAGCCUAAACUCUGUUUACUGGUGUACAUGCUGCUUUCUCUAUUUGUUACUUGAAUAUCUGAGGAAGUUCCACUUACUGGUGUACAUGUUGCUUUCUUUGUUUCUCUGUUUAUUGCUUUCUCUGUUUUCAUGCAUCUGUUAGUUACAACUUUAAUUAAUGUUCUCUAUAGUUUUUACUACUAGAUUGUUGUUGUAUACUAGCUGUCAGCUAUAGAGUUAUAUAUUGCAGGUAAAUAAAUGCAAAAAAUGGGUAUACAGGUGAUAAUCAUUCUUUAAAUACCAGAUUUUUGAUUUUUUUCCUAAACCUUACAGUAGUAGCUUUUAAUCCAUUUGCUGAAUCAGAACUACCUGUUCAAAGAAAUAAAACAUGUUCUAAUAUUUGCUGGAUUAUAUCCAUAGAAAAAUAGUGUGUGCUUGUGUGGUAUUUGGAUGAUUUUGUUGGCUACAUUUGCAUUGAACUAUAAGGAAGCAGGGGUGUAUCAUCAUUGCCAACCAUCAUCAGUUGGUAUGAUAAUACACAGCCAAAUUUAAAACAAUUUUGUUAUUUCAAUAUGUGGGAAAAAAAAUAAGGGUUGCUAAUAUAAUGUUUCAGCGAGUGGGUAAACGACAAAGGUUGAAUAAAGAUUAUAGUCACAAACUAUAGUCCAAUCUGAUCCAAACUAUACCUAUGUCUUCUCUGGGUAUGCACCUCUUAGUAUUCAAAUAAUUGGUUAUUUUUUAUGAAUCUGGAUGCUUUAGAUUCACUGGAAUAAGAUACUUCUAUUCUAUGUAAUUCUAGAGUUGGGCUUCAUUACGUUGAGAAGCAGUCAUGGAAUUAAGUCCUUGCAAGAAAAGUUCAUUAAUUUCUCUUUUUUCUGUUAGAAAUAUUACAACUGUUUCAUUAAUUGAUUUCCUUCCUCCACUAUCCACCAUUAUGUGGGUGGCUAACUCCACUAUCUCAGCAAAUGUUAUUUGGAACAUAGUGUGAAAAAUCUUAAUCUCAGUCCACUAUUUAUGACAUCGGUAUAAUUUUAUAUUCAGGCGUCCUAUUGAAGAAAUAUUAAAGUUGCUUCCAAGUUCACACUUGGAUACUAAGAGGGGUGGAUUUUCCAGCAGUCCAUUACUGGACUCAUUAAAUAGAUCUUUGCUUUGCUCGGACAAUAUAAACUUGCAUGCAGAUGACAUCCGGUAGUAGUGGUGAUCAGUCUCGUCCUGAUAAGAAUUCGAAGUCAAUUGCUAAAAACAAAUCUAGGACACCUAUAAAUCCUGAUGAUAUUCCUGGUCGACUUUCUUCACAGCCACAGAUGCACACCUCUUCAUCAGGGAGGUCUUAUGUCCCAUUUGGCACUGGUAAUCCUAUAGAUUAUCAUGGUCCUAGAAAGCAGCGACAGGUGUGCACUUCUUACGCUCCACAUACUCUCAGGCCUCCUACAAAUAUAGGGACUUUGAUAUUAUCAUCUGGUAAUCCAUCCCCCCAUGGUUCAUCCCCCCACCUCUCAGGAUUGCAGCUGAGAGACAACUCUGACUCUGAUGCCUAGACAUCUACUCCCCCAGUUAAUGAACCUUGGGUACUCCUAGGGGUAGCAUCCGCAUCUUGAUCUGCACCUCCACCUCCACCUAUAGUAGAUGAUACUGAUGCACAUUUGAUUGGUCUAAUUCCUGGAGAUAAGGACAGGCUUGGUAGAGUCUUCAUCGAACCUGAUGGAUCUACGUGGCAUCCCGCAUCAAAAUAAGUUAAUAAGGCAGUAAGGGAGAGCGUUAGGAGGCUUUUUUCACAACCUUGGCACAGUUGAUCGGAGAUUCCAGAAGACCAUAGAUAAGCCAUGUUUGAAGAGUUCAAGACAAUGUGUACUUGGUUGAAAAAACAUAAUAGAGUUAUAUCCAUUAUUGUUUAGAGGAAUACUGGUGCAAAGCUACGCAAUUGGCUUGAACGUGUUUGACGUACAGGCAAUGUUUCACAAUGGCUUCUCAAAACCGUAUAUGAUGACUUGUGUAUCUAUUGGAAUCUUUUGAAUAUAAGACAAUCUCUGAGAAAAAUAAGAAAGCUAGAGCCAGUCUAAAAGGUGGCUCAUUGCACACCGGAGGUGCGAAGAGUGUUGGGGUCAUAGUUUGAGAAAUGGUAUGUAGUAACCUUAGGUUUUACUUUAUGUGUUUAUAUAAAGUUCAUUAAAUAUUACUUGAUUGUGCUUAUUUACCUUUUUGUUAGUAGGAAAAGGACUUGGGUCGCGAACAGACUCGACUUGAAGUCUUUAGACGAACACAUCUGCUGAAAAAAAUGAAUGAGUCGAAACCGGAUGUGUGGGUUGAUCCCAGGGCUAAAAAUACCAACAUAAGACUUAUAUUUAUAUUCUACUCUAUUAUACCUUUAUAUUUAAUUAGCUAUAUCAUUCUCCUAUUGGAUACCUUUUGUUAUCGACUAGCAAGUAACCCGUGUAGUUCUUAAGGUUCCAAGGAUUUGGUUUUUGGUCACUUGGGUGUUUAUUCAGUGGUGAUUCAAUAAGCACUUUUAUUCCUCUUUAAGGUGCCGAGAGAUAGUACCUUAAAGCUAUAACCUUGAUCGAUCAAGAACUGUUGUCUUUUGGUUGAGUAGUAUAUUUCCUGCAUUUCAACAUAGCUUGUAAGGUCAUACUAUUAAAAUUGUUGUAUCCAAAUAACGUAUAAGAAGAUAUCAGAUAUCAACAGAAACUAGCAAACAAAAAAGGAUUUUGCACCUGGGUAUAUGUUGACACGAGGGAGUAAAAGAAUGCUAUACUCUUCUUUACCUCCUGCCAUCCUAUCUUGAUGUUUCCCCUAUAAACACAACAAUGAGCUAAACACAGUUGGAUUUGGAAAUAUGUAAUGAAAUCUAGGGCUUGCAUUAGUUCACGUGUUGGGCAAGAAGUUGCAAUAUCUAUAUAUCAGUUCUCAUACUUAACAUGGUUUUCUUAUAGGAUAUAUAUUUCCACAAGAGUUUAGAUAUUGAUUACACGCAUGCAUUUCCCUAGAGUAAGCAACUUAUCUUCAACUCACAACUCUCUUUUGACUCUCAUUGGUAAGUUAUCCUACGAAAAAAUGUCCAUAAAAGAUGAGAUAAAUUCUAAUGGUUCUGCUUAUUUGAAUAUUCUCAUACUAAUGGGUGAUAAAUUCAUAGAUGUAUUGAUAGCUUUAAGCUUUCUCUUUCUUUUUUUUUUCCUUUUUUGAUUACUGAGAAAUUC